CGCGAGGUAGAGCAGCGGUAGCUCGUCGGGCUCAUAACCCGAAGGUCCUUGGUUCGAUCCCAAGCCUCGCUACAA
RNAcentral lists this transfer RNA (75 nucleotides) under Sphingobacteriales bacterium. Its description in RNAcentral is "tRNA-Met". It matches the Rfam family "tRNA". Rfam says of the family: Transfer RNA (tRNA) molecules are approximately 80 nucleotides in length. Their secondary structure includes four short double-helical elements and three loops (D, anti-codon, and T loops). Further hydrogen bonds mediate the characteristic L-shaped molecular structure. tRNAs have two regions of fundamental functional importance: the anti-codon, which is responsible for specific mRNA codon recognition, and the 3' end, to which the tRNAs corresponding amino acid is attached (by aminoacyl-tRNA synthetases). tRNAs cope with the degeneracy of the genetic code in two manners: having more than one tRNA (with a specific anti-codon) for a particular amino acid; and 'wobble' base-pairing, i.e. permitting non-standard base-pairing at the 3rd anti-codon position. The record is from RNAcentral. Lineage: Bacteria; Pseudomonadati; Bacteroidota; Sphingobacteriia; Sphingobacteriales.